GUGAAUCAUCGAAUUUUUGAACGCAAAUUGCACUCUUUGGUAUUCCGGAGAGUAUGCCUGUUUGAGGGUCGGUUAAAUAAAAAUCGGUGUUGUGUUGGCGCUUUGUGUAGUGACGCGGCGGGUUUGGGUCGUGUUGCUUUCGGUUAAGUGUCGUAACAGUUUGCAUGUUUUUCGUACGUAUUUAAGUACUGUUCGUACGUUUGUAAUAGCGGGUAUUAGGUGUGUUCGUUC
Molecule: unclassified non-coding RNA, 231 nt
Filed under: Glomeraceae sp.
Lineage: Eukaryota; Fungi; Glomeromycota; Glomeromycetes; Glomerales; Glomeraceae
Description: partial contains 5.8S ribosomal RNA and internal transcribed spacer 2
Rfam family: 5.8S ribosomal RNA (bases 1-71)
Source: RNAcentral